CCUACGGGGGACAGCAGUGGGGAAUAUUGCGCAAUGGGCGAAAGCCUGACGCAGCGACGCCGCGUGAGGGAUGAAGGUCUUCGGAUCGUAAACCUCUGUCAGCAGGGAAGAACGGUCACUGUGCUAAUCAGCAGUGAAUUGACGGUACCUGCAAAGGAAGCACCGGCUAACUCCGUGCCAGCAGCCGCGGUAAUACGGAGGGUGCGAGCGUUAAUCGGAAUUACUGGGCGUAAAGCGCUCGUAGGCGGUAUGUCAAGUCAAGGGUGAAAUCCCCGCGCUCAACGUGGGAACUGCCUUUGAAACUGGCAAACUGGAGUGUGUGAGAGGAUAGUGGAAUUCCAGGUGUAGGAGUGAAAGCCGUAGAUAUCUGGAGGAACAUCAGUGGCGAAGGCGACUAUCUGGCACAUAACUGACGCUGAGGAGCGAAAGCGUGGGUAGCAAACAGGAUUAGAUACCCUAGUAGUC
Molecule: ribosomal RNA, 465 nt
Filed under: uncultured bacterium
Lineage: Bacteria
Description: partial 16S ribosomal RNA
Rfam family: Bacterial small subunit ribosomal RNA
Source: RNAcentral